Non-coding RNA from Pimephales promelas (fathead minnow), 460 nucleotides. The record is from RefSeq and is a predicted model, not a curated record. Lineage: Eukaryota; Metazoa; Chordata; Actinopteri; Cypriniformes; Leuciscidae.
UAUGGAAAAAAGAGUAGGCGAGCAAAAAAGUAUGAAUGAAUCCAAAAGAGUAGGCGAGAAUUACCUGGGUGACGUAGUAAUUGUCGUGAGAUUCGGACUUAAGUGCGUUCCAAUAUGCCUACUUUCCUACUAUAUAGUAGGCGAAAACAGUACGUGAAGGAAGCAGUAUGUUCGUUUUCAUAAAAGAGUAGGUGAGAAGUUCUCGGAUCGCUUACUGCUUCCGCCCAGAUUUUUGAGUGCUGUCCGAUGGGUACUCAUGAUACUCAUCGAUCUAUCCGAGGAGGCCACGUGAGAGGAUUCGUCAGUAUCAACAUCGUGGAGAUCAGCGACGCGGGGGUUUUGAAAUGGACAGAAGAACACGCGUGUGUUUAUCCGGUGGAGAGAGGCUCAUGAUGCUGAAUGCUGUCAUCAAUGGCUCUGACUUUUGUGGUGGAGCAGGACCUGCAAGGAAAGAUGAUGG